Molecule: long non-coding RNA, 707 nt
Filed under: Malus domestica (apple)
Lineage: Eukaryota; Viridiplantae; Streptophyta; Magnoliopsida; Rosales; Rosaceae
Description: long non-coding RNA (MDOM_LNC000226)
Source: RNAcentral
GAGGGAUGUUUGGGUGAAUGGUGUAGUGAAAAUAUGGUAGAGGGUGGUGUGAAUGAAAGGGUGCGGCACUACAUAUAUAUAGGCUGAAAAUCACAGCCCCUAGGUAGCAAAGGAAAAGGAUUUAAAGGCCUAAGUUGCAUAGGAAAAUAAAACACAAUCCUUGAAGGAAAACAAAUCAGAAAUCCAAAGGGAAUGGGAGGAUAAGGUGCGGCACUUAUCUAGGAAGGGAUAAGGGCUUCUAGAAACCAAAAUCCCAAGGGAAUUGGGUAAAAACUCACGGCACAAAGUGGAGGUAGAGUGGCUGAUUUGCAAUGCAAGGCAAAGGUCUUCUAGAAAGGUUCUAGGCGCCAUUUUUGUAGGAAAGGAUUAGGUUUUCUAGAAAUCUGAUUUUAAGCAUCCUAAUAUAGCUAGGAAUCUUCCCAAGUAGCUGAAAUAUAAGUGGAUUAGGAUUAGGAUAAGAUAGGAUAGGGUUUUGGAUAAGGUGUCUUCACUUGAGCUGAUUCUUUGGCUUUAACUUCCCUUCUUCAAGUAGGAAACCUUGUUUGAGUAGGAAACUUCAAUCUUCUAGGAAUCCAACUUCACUUAGGAAUCAUUCUUCAACUAGGAAUCCUUCUUCAACUAGGAAUCCAUGCUUGACUAGGAUUUCAUCUUCAAUUAAGCACUUUCCCACUUCAAUUAGGAAACUUUGCAUCUUCAAGUCUUCAACU